AGCUGCCAACCCUGCAUUCCAACAUGCAAUGGGAAGUUUAUUCUCUGCCAAGGAUAAAAGGGAGGAUUACUAGUGGAGUCCAGGUACAAUUGAUAGAUACUAUACUGAAUAACAAAGAAUUAAGUCAAAGUUUAUUUAUAAAAUGUUGAGACCCUCAACCUAUCUUCCUUCAUAUAUAUUGUAGCUUGUUUAUUGGACUAGGAAGAGAUUGGUUGAAUCUUCUUUGGCAAAUCUGACAAGCUCAAGAGAAGAGACCUGAAAAAGUCAUAGGUUGUAACCCAAGGAAACAAAUCAGUCAUUAUCAUCCUACAUUGAAGAGCACUGAACAAUGAUUUGAUCUCACUCUCUUCCCUCUGUUUGAUCUCGCUCUAGGUAUUCUGUGGGCCAAAUGCAAUUGGAAAACAAAGGGCAAGGAACCUGUUUAAUAGAGCACCCUCCCAGGGUGAAGAGAACAAAGAGGAAGGAUAAAGUAAAGUUGAAAGGGACAGUGGAAGCUACUCUCCCCAAAAGGCAGAACCUCGAGGAGGGCCAACAAGUGGGGGUGUGCUUCUGGAGACUGGCAAGAAAACACUGGGAAGAAGUCAAACAAAAACUGAGGCAGGGAAGAAUGUGGGUUGAUUUUGAAGCCAUCCCUGUUGGGACUGAGUAAGAUGGACAAUAAUCUAUUAGGUCUAUAAGUUAGGGGGAAAAAAUCAACUCUGAAUUACAGAAACCUAUUUUUAGAGUUGGAGGCUUUUUGAGUUGUUCAUUGAAAUUACGAUACCACCAUUUUAUUUAAUCAAGAUUUGGGUAUUUUAAUAAAAAUAUAAAGAGUAGCUAUACACCUCCAGGAUUCUACCAUGGGAUGACAGAUUUAUAUAGUAAGAAAUAAAUAAAAUUUUUUAAAUGUUGAACUCUUUCUCCUUAACUGGUAAAAUGAAUGGUGGUGGAUAAAUUAUUUCUUAGCCUCUUAAAUUUGUGAUGAGGAUUAAAUCAGAAAAUACAUGUGUAGCACAAUUAUUAUUUUUGCCUACCAAACACCCCUUCCAUAUUCCCACCACAUCUUUUGAGAACUGACUUUUUCCUCAGAAUUAUCCUAUGACUGAUUGGUCCAAGGGUGAAAACCUGACCUAAAUUCUCUGGGGAUAUGGAGACCAGACUUGCUGUCCUUUUGAAUGGAGAAGAUAUGAUUUCUUAAGCUAUUGGCUGAAAACAUUUUUUUCCUACCAUGUAGACUGGAAAACAGAAACUGGUCCAUAGUAGGAGUGAAAAAAGCAGAUAUGCACAGAUGAGAAAGAAAGUCUCAAUGCCAUGGAGAUUCUGAUCACUGUUGUUUUUAAGGGUUGGCUAGAAUCCUGUUCUUGCAUUCUAUGAGACACUCUGAUAUGCUAGUAAUAAACUAUCCGCUAAGUUUUAAUUAAUUCAAGCUGAUUUUCUGUUUCUUAAAACUAAGAAUCAUAGUAUUUAUUGGUACCUAAUAAAUAGAAGCUAUUACUUUCGAAGAAAUGAAAAUAGAAACAGGUUGAACAAAAAUUGCCCUGA
This 1521-nucleotide long non-coding RNA is filed under the name Marmota monax (woodchuck). Lineage: Eukaryota; Metazoa; Chordata; Mammalia; Rodentia; Sciuridae. The record is from RNAcentral.